AUGAACCGCUAGGGGAGCCCUUUUGAAGGGCUGAGAUCGGAGUGUGACUCCGAGACCCUCAGAACCUGAUCUGGUUAACACCAGCGUAGGGAAGUGGUGUAAUGGUCUA
RNAcentral lists this non-coding RNA (109 nucleotides) under Metabacillus indicus. Its description in RNAcentral is "Bacillus cibi TPP sequence". It matches the Rfam family "TPP riboswitch aptamer (THI element)". Rfam says of the family: Vitamin B(1) in its active form thiamin pyrophosphate (TPP) is an essential coenzyme that is synthesised by coupling of pyrimidine and thiazole moieties in bacteria. The previously detected thiamin-regulatory element, thi box was extended, resulting in a new, highly conserved RNA secondary structure, the THI element, which is widely distributed in eubacteria and also occurs in some archaea. Lineage: Bacteria; Bacillati; Bacillota; Bacilli; Caryophanales; Bacillaceae. The record is from Rfam by way of RNAcentral.